This 800-nucleotide ribosomal RNA is filed under the name uncultured bacterium. RNAcentral describes it as "bacterial SSU rRNA". It matches the Rfam family "Bacterial small subunit ribosomal RNA", at positions 9 to 779 of the family's 1533-position model. The record is from RNAcentral.
GAGUUUGAUCCUGGCUCAGGACGAACGCUGGCGGCGUGCUUAACACAUGCAAGUCGAACGAAGAGCGAUGGAAGCUUGCUUCUAUCAAUCUUAGUGGCGAACGGGUGAGUAACGCGUAAUCAACCUGCCCUUCAGAGGGGGACAACAGUUGGAAACGACUGCUAAUACCGCAUACGAUUCAACCUUGGCAUCGAGGAUGAAUGAAAGGUGGCCUCUAUGUAUAAGCUAUCACUGAAGGAGGGGAUUGCGUCUGAUUAGCUAGUUGGAGGGGUAACGGCCCACCAAGGCGAUGAUCAGUAGCCGGUCUGAGAGGAUGAACGGCCACAUUGGGACUGAGACACGGCCCAGACUCCUACGGGAGGCAGCAGUGGGGAAUCUUCCGCAAUGGACGAAAGUCUGACGGAGCAACGCCGCGUGAGUGAUGACGGCCUUCGGGUUGUAAAGCUCUGUUAAUCGGGACGAAAGGUCUUCUUGCGAAUAGUUAGGAGAAUUGACGGUACCGGAAUAGAAAGCCACGGCUAACUACGUGCCAGCAGCCGCGGUAAUACGUAGGUGGCAAGUGUUGUCCGGAAUUAUUGGGCGUAAAGCGCGCGCAGGCGGAUCAGUUAGUCUGUCUUAAAAGUUCGGGGCUUAACCCCGUGAUGGGAUGGAAACUGCUGAUCUAGAGUAUCGGAGAGGAAAGUGGAAUUCCUAGUGUAGCGGUGAAAUGCGUAGAUAUUAGGAAGAACACCAGUGGCGAAGGCGACUUUCUGGACGAAAACUGACGCUGAGGCGCGAAAGCCAGGGGAGCGAACGGGAUU